AGCGGGCAUCCGGGGAGUCAGGGCAGACCUCAAAGGGAAAACUAGACGUAACGACGGGUUAGAGUCCACUGAGGAGGUCAGUCUUGAGUAAAACAGAAGAUUAAGUGUAUUGUUCAAGUAGCGGGAAGGAAUGAUUAGCUGGAAAGCAUAGCUGAAGCGUCACUCAUUGCGAAGGGAGAAUGUACAUU
RNAcentral lists this ribosomal RNA (188 nucleotides) under Dexiostoma sp. CO_18g. Its description in RNAcentral is "partial 23S ribosomal RNA". The record is from RNAcentral. Lineage: Eukaryota; Ciliophora; Oligohymenophorea; Hymenostomatida; Turaniellidae.